Long non-coding RNA from Eptesicus fuscus (big brown bat), 748 nucleotides. RefSeq lists it as uncharacterized. The transcript has 2 exons. Lineage: Eukaryota; Metazoa; Chordata; Mammalia; Chiroptera; Vespertilionidae. The record is from RefSeq and is a predicted model, not a curated record.
ACUUGAGAUUAACCCAUUUGGUGAUGGUACCGGCAGUGUCCUCCUAAACUCGGGACAAAGUCCCAUGCACCCAGCCACAGUGCUGCAGCCCCUGGUCACAGCAUUUCACUGUGUCCUCUGUGAGGGUGCGAUUGCCGCUGCCACUGACUCAAGCCUCAGAGAGCAGGGACUGGUGUCCUCAGAGCCACCCCGUUCCAGAAUGCCACAGGCCCGUCUUUUACUCAGGAGACCACACUGACGGACAUGGUGUUCCAAGCAGACUCCUCGGGCUGUGGCGUGCAGGAGGCAUGGGCGAGAGCCAGGAGAAAGGCUGUCAGAGCUGGAAGGACAGCCUGGCGGGGGCAGAGCCAGGAGACUCUGGGGAGAUGCCGUGUGGGUGGAAGGAGUGUUUCCGUUUGCAGGCCCCAGGUGAAGUCAGACUCGGUAGAGAAGAGCACAGAGAUCCGUUGACCUCCCGCAACCCUGGAAGGACAAUACAGUCUUAAAGAGUGACAGCCUUGAAGGGCAAUGGCACAGAAGAAGCCAAGGAGAACUGGCGGGCUCUCAUCUCCUCAGAUGGCUCCGACUCCACACACAUGCUUCUUAGGUCUCAGCUCCUCUUCACGCACCACACGAGCCUCCACGCUCUGCAAGAAAACUCGCCACCCCCUUCCCAGAAAAAAAAGAAGACACAUCACACAUUCAGGCGUUUCUUCCUCUCCACUGGACAUACUGAUGCCAAUGAAAUAUGGCCUUUAUUUGUCUUUGA